UCCGGUGGUUAUUGAGAGAGGGUUACACCCAGCUCCAUCCCGAACCUGGAAGUUAAGGCUCUCUUCGCUAAUAUUACUGCGGGUUGCACCCGUGGAAAGGUAGGCCUCUGCCGGAG
RNAcentral lists this ribosomal RNA (116 nucleotides) under Campylobacterales bacterium. Lineage: Bacteria; Pseudomonadati; Campylobacterota; Epsilonproteobacteria; Campylobacterales. The record is from RNAcentral.